UCGAGAAUAUUCCGCAAUGGGCGAAAGCCUGACGGAGCGACGCCGCGUGCAGGAUGAAGUGCUUCGGUAUGUAAACUGCUUUUGUAGACUAGAAAGUUUAUUGAUCAGUCUAAGAAUAAGAGGUUGCUAAACUCGUGCCAGCAGCAGCGGUAAUACGAGUGCCUCGAGCGUUAUCCGGAAUCAUUGGGCGUAAAGGGUGUGUAGGCGGUUUGAUUAGUCUUUUGUCAAAUUCUUCGGCUUAACCGGGGGUCGGCAGGGGAAACGGUCAGACUAGAGGAUGCGAGAGGUUAACGGAACUCAUAGUGUAGCGGUAAAAUGCGUUGAUAUUAUGGGGAACACCAAAUGCGAAGGCAGUUAACUGGAGCACUCCUGACGCUGAAACACGAAAGCGUGGGUCGCG
RNAcentral lists this ribosomal RNA (400 nucleotides) under uncultured bacterium. RNAcentral describes it as "bacterial SSU rRNA". It matches the Rfam family "Bacterial small subunit ribosomal RNA", at positions 355 to 770 of the family's 1533-position model. The record is from RNAcentral.